This 586-nucleotide ribosomal RNA is filed under the name uncultured bacterium. RNAcentral's name for it is "partial 16S ribosomal RNA". It matches the Rfam family "Bacterial small subunit ribosomal RNA", at positions 355 to 1375 of the family's 1533-position model. The record is from RNAcentral.
UGGGGAAUUUUGGACAAUGGGCGAAAGCCUGAUCCAGCAAUGCCGCGUGUGUGAAGAAGGCCUUCGGGUUGUAAAGCACUUUUGUCCGGAAAGAAAUCCUUGGCUCUAAUACAGUCGGGGGAUGACGGUACCGGAAGAAUAAGCACCGGCUAACUACGUGCCAGCAGCCGCGGUAAUACGUAGGGUGCAAGCGUUAAUCGGAAUUACUGGGCGUAAAGCGUGCGCAGGCGGUUUGCUAAGACCGAUGUGAAAUCCCCGGGCUCAACCUGGGAACUGCAUUGGUGACUGGCAGGCUAGAGUAUGGCAGGAGGGGGGUAGAAUUCCACGUGUAGCAGUGAAAUGCGUAGAGAUGUGGAGGAAUACCGAUGGCGAAGGCAGCCCCCUGGGCCAAAUACUGACGCUCAUGCACGAAAGCGUGGGGAGCAAACAGGAUUAGAUACCCUGGUAGUCCACGCCCUAAACGAUGUCAACUAGUUGUUGGGGAUUCAUUUCCUUAGUAACGUAGCUACGCGUGAAGUUGACCGCCUGGGGAGUACGGUCGCAAGAUUAAAACUUAAAUGAAUUGACGGGGUCAUAGCUGUUUCCU